RNAcentral lists this ribosomal RNA (410 nucleotides) under uncultured bacterium. RNAcentral's name for it is "bacterial SSU rRNA". It matches the Rfam family "Bacterial small subunit ribosomal RNA", at positions 976 to 1381 of the family's 1533-position model. The record is from RNAcentral.
UGGCCUUGACAUAGAAAGAAUUUAGCAGAGAUGUAAAAGUGCUAGUUUACUAGAGCUUUCAUACAGGUGCUGCACGGCUGUCGUCAGCUCGUGUCGUGAGAUGUUAGGUUAAGUCCUGCAACGAGCGCAACCCUCGUGUUUAGUUACUAAAAGAUUAUGCUGAGGACUCUAGACAUACUGCCUGGGCAACCAGGAGGAAGGUGAGGACGACGUCAAGUCAUCAUGGCCCUUAUGGCCAGGGCUACACACGUGCUACAAUGGGGUAUACAAAGAGCCGCAAUACCGCGAGGUGGAGCAAAUCUCAUAAAAUAUCUCCCAGUUCGGAUUACACUCUGCAACUCGAGUGUAUGAAGUUGGAAUCGCUAGUAAUCGUAGAUCAGCAAUGCUACGGUGAAUACGUUCCCGGGUCU